GAAUUUUCCGCAAUGGGCGAAAGCCUGACGGAGUGACGCCGCGUGUGGGAUGAAGGCCUUCGGGUCGUAAACCACUGUCAGUGGGAAAGAAGGGUGUCGACGCGAUAACCGUCGGCAUUUGACGGUACCUGCAGAGGAAGCCCCGGCCAACUCUGUCCCAGCAUCCGCGGUAAGACAGAGGGGGCAAGCGUUGCUCGGAAUUCCUGGGCGUAAAGGGCGCGUAGGCGGGAUGGCAAGUCGGUCGUGAAAUCCUUCGGCUCAACCGAAGAACGUCGAUCGAUACUGCUGUCCUAGAGGGUUGCAGAGGAGACUGGAAUUCCCGGUGUAGCGGUGAAAUGUGUAGAGAUCGGGAGGAACACCGGUGGCGAAGGCGGGUCUCUGGGCAAUCCCUGACGCUGAGGCGCGAAAGCGUGGGGAGCAAACGGG
This 426-nucleotide ribosomal RNA is filed under the name uncultured bacterium. RNAcentral describes it as "bacterial SSU rRNA". It matches the Rfam family "Bacterial small subunit ribosomal RNA", at positions 359 to 776 of the family's 1533-position model. The record is from RNAcentral.